Molecule: ribosomal RNA, 576 nt
Filed under: uncultured bacterium
Lineage: Bacteria
Description: bacterial SSU rRNA
Rfam family: Bacterial small subunit ribosomal RNA
Source: RNAcentral
CCUACGGGAGGCAGCAGUGAGGAAUAUUGGACAAUGGGCGCAAGCCUGAUCCAGCCAUGCCGCGUGCAGGAUGACGGUCCUAUGGAUUGUAAACUGCUUUUGUACAGGAAGAAACAGUUCUACGUGUAGAACCUUGACGGUACUGUAAGAAUAAGGAUCGGCUAACUCCGUGCCAGCAGCCGCGGUAAUACGGAGGAUCCAAGCGUUAUCCGGAAUCAUUGGGUUUAAAGGGUCCGUAGGCGGUUUAGUAAGUCAGUGGUGAAAGCCCAUCGCUCAACGGUGGAACGGCCAUUGAUACUGCUAAACUUGAAUUAUUAGGAAGUAACUAGAAUAUGUAGUGUAGCGGUGAAAUGCUUAGAGAUUACAUGGAAUACCAAUUGCGAAGGCAGGUUACUACUAAUAUAUUGACGCUGAUGGACGAAAGCGUGGGUAGCGAACAGGAUUAGAUACCCUGGUAGUCCACGCCGUAAACGAUGGAUACUAGCUGUUGGGAGCAAUCUCAGUGGCUAAGCGAAAGUGAUAAGUAUCCCACCUGGGGAGUACGUUCGCAAGAAUGAAACUCAAAUGAAUUGACGG